RNAcentral lists this long non-coding RNA (1639 nucleotides) under Pogona vitticeps (central bearded dragon). Its description in RNAcentral is "lncRNA (ENSPVIG00000007611.1)". The record is from RNAcentral. Lineage: Eukaryota; Metazoa; Chordata; Lepidosauria; Squamata; Agamidae.
UCUCUCUCAGAUGCCAAGACUGGGCUUGGAUCUUUGGGGCUGGAGGGAGAGAAGGCGUUUCCUCCUGUGCCUCAGGCAGCAAAAAGUCUUGGGCAUUCCCAGGCUGGACCACCUGGGAAUCAAGAGGGCUUUGACCCCUGGAGGAGAAAACUUUGCCCCUCUGACAAGGCUUUGCCCCCAAAUCCCUUCUUCCCCAACAAGCAGGGGAGAACCGAAGCUAUCUUUUGACCCCUUCCUCACUUCCGUGACCUCCCGUUAUUCUGAGUACCGCUUCCCAGAGUCCCCCUCAGAUGACCCUGUGCAUUUUUAGAAGGAUGUCCCCUGCCUGCAAGCUCAUCUCUCUGCCCUGUGGCUUUUGCAGGGCAAGAAGGGAGCUCUGGGCCGCCAUCGUGACUCACCCGAGCUGCCGAGCCUCAGCCCUGAAGCAUUUGCUCCGCUGGGUGAUGUCGGACGGGAGCAGCGCCCCAAAUUGUGUUCUGGUGCUCUUAGCCCUCCGAGAGGUGGUCGUGGCCUUGGACAGCUGGACCGGGCUCUCCUCGCUACUCUCCAAUCUGUGCCAUGUUCUCCUCUUCUGGCUCAGCCAGGACUGGUCCGGAGAGAUGCCACAGGCAGCCUGUUCCCUUCUGGAAGGCAACGGGGAGCUGGAAACGGGAUGGGCAGGGGCCCGGGGGUAAGUCGCCCCCACGCCUUCCCUAGCCGGCCCCUUUCUUGCCCAGCCACGCCGUGACGUUCCUUGGAGGCUUCAGUUCCUCCACGUGCUCUUUUCUCGGCUCGCCAGGAAGGGGCUCGGCUCUUUCCGCUGUGCCAAGGGGGGGGGGAAGCCCACCUGCCAGGGAUCAGAAGCUGUGCCAAGCCGCCCUCCUCUGGCUACUGGGCUGGUCCUCUCAGUAGCCCCUUCCUCCCUGGGCCUGUGAAGAGGAGGACCACGGGCUUCCUUCCUCUUCGGCUGAAGGAUUCUGCCCUCGGGUAGACGUGGCAGGAGCCGUGAGUGGGGUUGGCCUUUCUCGCCCCCAACCCGUGACUGGGUCUGUCUUCCAGACUGGCGGUGGAGGUGCUGCAGACCACGCUCAGCCAAGUGAUUCCAGAGGCCACGAGGGCGAUGGAGGCAGAAAAUGCCUGGGCCCUCCUGAGAGAGCCAGAGAGCCGUCUUAAGGGGAUCGCCUCCUUGGCCAAGUAAGGAGACCCUUCUGGGUCACAGUGGGGAACAGCGGGGGGGGGAGGCUCAGGCAUCAUCCGUACAGCCCAGGAGUUUUCCCCAUUGAGAUCUCUCCAUGUCAAGCCAAGGAAACCCGGCUGGGGCAUCGAUUGUGUUGCUUUCACUUCCGGCCUCGCCAUCUCACUCUGGAGGACCGGAGCAGACGUUCUCUAGGGUGGGAGAGACCGAAGCGAUGGAGCUGGGACAAAAGCUAAAAGGCUCACCUGCUAACACAAGAGAAGCUCCUGCCGUGACACCAACUCACACUCAGCCCUUGAGGAGGUUCCUCUUGGCCGCCUAUAAUGUUGCUUUCAGCCCUAAGGGUUUCUAAGGAAUCGGCGCUAACCGAGGCUCUGGGUCGGAGCUGACAAGCCUCUGGGUGCAGCAGGGUCUAUCUGAAGCCCGGGGGGGGGCAGGUUCUGCUUGGCCCGGGAUGGAGCGAGU